GAGGCCUUAGCUUAAUUAAAGUGUCUGAGUUGCAAUCAGUUGAUGUAUUAUUUAGUUUUACAGGUCUU
RNAcentral lists this transfer RNA (68 nucleotides) under Hemidactylus palaichthus. RNAcentral describes it as "tRNA-Ala". The record is from RNAcentral. Lineage: Eukaryota; Metazoa; Chordata; Lepidosauria; Squamata; Gekkonidae.